RNAcentral lists this ribosomal RNA (468 nucleotides) under uncultured bacterium. Its description in RNAcentral is "partial 16S ribosomal RNA". It matches the Rfam family "Bacterial small subunit ribosomal RNA", at positions 28 to 508 of the family's 1533-position model. The record is from RNAcentral.
GACGAACGCUGGCGGCGUGCUUAACACAUGCAAGUCGAACGGAAAGGCCCUGCUUUUGUGGGGUGCUCGAGUGGCGAACGGGUGAGUAACACGUGAGUAACCUGCCCUUGACUUUGGGAUAACUUCAGGAAACUGGGGCUAAUACCGGAUAGGAGCUCCUGCUGCAUGGUGGGGGUUGGAAAGUUUCGGCGGUUGGGGAUGGACUCGCGGCUUAUCAGCUUGUUGGUGGGGUAGUGGCUUACCAAGGCUUUGACGGGUAGCCGGCCUGAGAGGGUGACCGGCACAUUGGGACUGGGAUACGGCCCAGACUCCUACGGGAGGCAGCAGUGGGGAAUAUUGCACAAUGGGCGGAAGCCUGAUGCAGCAACGCCGCGUGCGGGAUGACGGCCUUCGGGUUGUAAUCCGCUUUCGCCUGUGACGAAGCGUGAGUGACGGUAAGGGGUAAAGAAGCACCGGCUAACUACGUGC